UUUUUUUAGAGUUUGAUCCUAGCUCAGGAUGAACGCUGGCGGCGUGGAUAAGGCAUGCAAGUCAAACGGCCCGCAAGGGCAGUGGCGAACGAGGUAGUAACACGUAGGUACGCACCCCAAAGUCAGGAAUAACUAGUCGAAAGAUUAGCUAAUACUUGAUGGUCUCGAAAGAGUAAAGAUUUAUC
Molecule: ribosomal RNA, 185 nt
Filed under: bacterium
Lineage: Bacteria
Description: partial 16S ribosomal RNA
Rfam family: Bacterial small subunit ribosomal RNA
Source: RNAcentral